This 85-nucleotide non-coding RNA is filed under the name uncultured Clostridium sp. RNAcentral's name for it is "S10-Clostridia ribosomal protein leader". It matches the Rfam family "S10-Clostridia ribosomal protein leader". The record is from RNAcentral. Lineage: Bacteria; Bacillati; Bacillota; Clostridia; Eubacteriales; Clostridiaceae.
UGAUAGCGAUGAAACGAGAGGUUGCUGCCCGCAAUGUGGCAGGUUAUUCCGCGGAGCGAAUGUCAAGUUAGAAAACUGGCGACAA